Long non-coding RNA from Physeter macrocephalus (sperm whale), 961 nucleotides. RefSeq lists it as uncharacterized. NCBI's taxonomy places the organism in Eukaryota, Metazoa, Chordata, Mammalia, Artiodactyla, Physeteridae. The record is from RefSeq and is a predicted model, not a curated record. The transcript is spliced from 3 exons.
UCCGAGCCCUGCCCACUGGCUCAGGACUCCCGUCCUUCCCAGGCUCCUCCCAGCAGGGCAUCAGGCAGCUGGUGGCCCAGGUCCAAACCCCCACCCUGCCAGCUGCCAGCCACGUGGCCCGAGUCUCAGUUUCCCCAUCCGCCGCGGUAAGUCCGACUCGUUCACGAAGGUGCUGGGCCCCGCGGGCGGCUCUUCGGCACCCGACAUGCUCAGCCUGAGCGUCCUGAAUUCAGCCUCUCGCAGGCCUUCAAUUUGGGAAUCCUUCUAAUGAAAAGAAAACAGAGGUGGCGGAGACCAGCCGGCCGGCCGAGGUCGGUCAUUUCUCUGCAGCCGCGAGGAAGGCCCCAGCUGUAAAAGGCGCAUUCAUGUGUGUUUCCGUGUUGCCUGGGGUGACGGGCCACGGCGCGCGGACACAACUGGCCCUUUUAGCCGGGGCGGCUCUAGGAGCAGCGGCGCCCUCACCGCCUGGCCUGUGUAAACGCCUCCAUGCCACUGGCCAUGAAUGACUUCAGUGUACAGAGGUUUUCUUUUUCCAUACCUGGCCACCAGAACGUCCAACAUUCUUCUAGAAAAAAUGUGGCAAGGUCCCUGGGAUCGUUUUCUCUCCAAAUGGCUGAUCCAUCCCAGUCUGGCCCCGACACAAGCCAGCUCUUCUUCCACUUAAUGACGUGAAAGAAAAAUCGUGCUUCCGUUUUUGCCACCUGCUGUGACGGCCCCAACCUAGUUCCCUCGGACUGCCUGGGGGUGAAGGAUCCCUGAACCAGAGGCCGGGCCUGCUCCCCUGCUCGCCACCCCCACCCCCCGUGCCUGCAGCAGGGCCGACGCCUGCGGAGAAGCGAACCAGCACAGCGCGUACAGCCGCUGCGGGCGCCUGUGAAUGUGUCCCCGACGGCUCCUCUCGCGGCUGAGCCCGCGAGGAUUUGCUCCGAUCACACGUCUCGCUGGGACCGCGCCCAGCCAG